Sapajus apella (tufted capuchin) is the source of this 3772-nucleotide RNA transcript. It is a transcript of the gene named centrosomal protein 43, with no coding region annotated. The record is from RefSeq and is a predicted model, not a curated record. Lineage: Eukaryota; Metazoa; Chordata; Mammalia; Primates; Cebidae. The transcript is spliced from 13 exons.
GGGCGGGACCUUGGUCGCGUCGGCCCCGUAGCCGGCGCGCGGAGCGGACCCUGCGGCAGCCUUUGGCCGUUAGCGCGUCUUGGGCGGUUGUCUUGGAGAAGCAAGAUGGCGGCGACGGCGACCGCAGUGGUGGCCGAGGAGGACACGGAACUCCGGGACCUGCUGGUGCAGACGCUGGAGAACAGCGGGGUACUGAACCGCAUCAAGGCGGAACUCCGAGCAGCCGUGUUUUUAGCACUAGAAGAGCAAGAAAAAGUAGAGAACAAAACUCCUUUAGUCAAUGAGAGCCUGAAAAAGUUUUUAAAUACCAAAGACGGUCGUUUAGUGGCUAGUCUUGUUGCAGAAUUUCUUCAGUUUUUUAACCUUGACUUUACCUUGGCUGUUUUUCAACCUGAAACUAGCACACUGCAAGGUCUUGAAGGUCGAGAAAAUUUAGCCCGAGAUUUAGGUAUAAUUGAAGCAGAAGGUACUGUGGGUGGACCUUUAUUAUUAGAAGUGAUCAGACGCUGUCAACAGAAAGAAAAAGGGCCAACCACUGGGGAAGGUACACUAGAUCUAUCUGAUGUGCAUUCUCCACCAAAGUCACCAGAAGGAAAAACAAGUGCACAGACAACACCAAGUAAGAUACCAAGGUAUAAAGGACAAGGUAAGAAGAAGACAAGCGGGCAGAAGGCUGGUGACAAGAAGACCAACAGUGAGGCCAGUCAGAGUGAUACAAGUGUCUCCUUGUCAGAACCAAAGAGCAAAAGCAGCCUUCACUUACUGUCCCAUGAAACAAAAAUUGGAUCUUUUCUAAGCAACAAAACUUUAGAUGGCAAAGACAAAGCCGGCCUUUGUCCAGAUGAAGAUGAUAUGGAAGGAGAUUCUUUCUUUGAUGAUCCCAUUCCUAAGCCAGAGAAAACUUAUGGUUUGAGGAAUGAACCAAGGAAGCAGGCAGGAAGCCUGGCCUCGCUGUCGGAUGCACCCCCCUUAAAAAGUGGACUCAGCUCCCUGGCGGGGGCCCCUUCCUUAAAAGACUCUGAGAUUUUAGGUUAUUAUGCUCCUGUCAUAAAGAAGCGCCAUAUUGAACAACAACAAAAAUUAAUAUGGUUUAGAGACUGUUGUAUUCUAAAAGUCACUCUAAUAAUAUUUUCUCCUGUUCACAGGGACUGGAGAAGACGAUGACUAUGUUGAUGAUUUUAACAGUACCAGCCACCGCUCAGAGAAAAGUGAGAUAAGUAUUGGUGAAGAGAUUGAAGAAGACCUUUCUGUGGAAAUAGAUGACAUCAAUACCAGUGAAAAGCUUGAUGACCUCACACAAGACCUGACUGUAUCCCAGCUCAGUGAUGUUGCAGAUUAUCUGGAAGAUGUUGCAUAGACAUGAAGAAGGAAGUAUUCUAAUUAACGAAGGACAAAGGACUGAUCAGUUCCAUUUUUUUCUCCAGACAAUCACUCUGCUGGAAUGUCUGCUCUCUGUUGGUGCCUUGUGUUUCAAAAAGACUGCAGAUAUUUUUUAAAAUUAAUUUUUCAUUUUACUAAACAAAAUACUUCCUAUUUGAGCCCAUGUGUGGAAGAUUUAAUAUUUUUAACUGUACAUUUCUUUAUGAAAAUUAUCUACACUCAGUUUCAUUACCGGGGGGAACCCAUGAAAACACCAGUGUUAAGAGCCUGAUGAAAGGUGUCAUUGAAGCUGUAGGAUCACACAACCCUUUGUGUGUGUGGCUGCUGGUACCUGUGAUCUUUGAAAACCUUGGCUUUAGCCCUCUGGAAUCAGAGCUUACCCACCAUAGUAUAUAUUUUAAUAUUAGGUGGUUCUACACAUAGUUGGCAAAAUGACUUGGUAAAGUUAUAAUACUGAAGUAUAUUAGUAUAAUUUAAAUUUGAUGUGUCAACUUUAUUUUGUAUUUCCUUCCAUUUGGAAGGUUUGUUAGACCAUUAAGGUUAUAUUAAAGUACUCUUGUGUGUGCUAUUUAGUUUUGCUUGUUUUAAAAAAUCUAGAAGUGGCUAUGAGUUUUAAUUCAUAGAAUUGUCAAUAACAGAUAACAUUUGCAAUCGCCAUUUCUCCUGUUGUCCACGUAAGCAGCUUUAGUUGCAAGUUCUCUUCAUUAUAAUUUAUUAUUUGUAAAGAUUCCUUUAAACAUAUUCAAUACCAAAAUGCAUCUGAAACCAUUAAGCAGUGCUUUUAUUUCAGAUCUGUAAGUUAAUUGUAUUAAAAUCCAAAUUGGAAUGAAAUAGUAGUAAUGGCCUAAGACCAUGUUCAGUUUGACAAGCUUUAUAUACUGUACAUAAUUUCAUUGUAGCCCUUAAAAAUAGAGCCAAUAAUAGAAUUUCCGCAGUCUCAUGUAUACAGUUAAAGCAUUACUGCUAUGAUGUAGGUCACAGAUGUGUAUAAUACGAAAGUAUUUUAAAAUGUGCAAGUAGAAAAAAACAAUAGAAAGUGAUGCAUGCGUAUUUAUGUAUAAGUAAAGCUAGGAUUGCGCUGUUUUUGUACUUUGUAAUUAUGGCUUUAUACUAAAAGUUACCUUUAUUAGUAAAAGGAGCAAAUUAGACAUAAUUCGUCGAUCUCGGUAAGUAAGCAGACUGCAUGACCUGUGUAGUGCCAGUUUCUCAUUUCAUAUUAGCCUAAAUAUUGCAGAAAUACUUCUUGGGCUCUAAAAUGUAGAGGAGAUGAAAAUAUAAGGAUUAAGGCUGUGUUACAGAAUCUGGCUUUUUAAAAUUUAAGUGAAACUGAGCUGUAAACAUCAAGAGGAAGUAGGACAUAAAGGGCUGGGCAGCCUGGAAGCCUGUGCAUUUCUGCCCUCCGCCUGUGAGCUGCCAUCUCAGUCGCCUUCAGGUUCUUCAUUUCUUAGUGAGUAAACAGCACCAUGUACAGAUGUCAUCUUGUUGCAGUGACCCAGUGUGCCUGUUACAAAAUGCAUUUCUUUGUAAGUCAUCUCUGAAAACAGUCACUUUCUAAAAGCACUGUAGUUGUGUUCUGGCCUCUGGAAUCUGGAUCACAUUGUGUGAUUUAUCUUAAUAUUCUUUGAUAGGAGUUAGGUUUCAGUGAAAUGAUUUGAAAGCAUAACAGGAUGUGGCUUUUUAAAUUUAUGAAACUGUUGAACAGUAGCAACUGAAAUAUGUCACUUUUGUUACCCAGAGAGUCAGACCUUUCGAUAAUAUUUGGGAGGGUAAGAGAAAAAAUAUGAAACUUUUUUAUUAGCACUACAUACAUCUUUUUUUUUUUUUUUUUUUUUUUUUGAAACAGUCUCACUCUGUCGCCCAGGCUGGAGUGCAGUGGUGCGAUCUCUGCUCAACGCAGCCUCCACCUCCCAGGUUCAAGUGAUUAUCCUGCCUCAGCCUCCCAAGUAGCUGGGAUUACAGGCACGUGCCACCACAUCCGGCUAACUUUUGUAUUUUUAGUAGCGAUGGGGUUUCACCAUGUUGGUCAGGCUGAUCUUGAAGUCCUGAUCUCAUGAUCCGCUUGCCUCAACCUCUCAAGGUGCUGGGAUUACAGGUGUGAACCACCACACCCAGCCAGCACUACAUACAUCUUAUUGAAUAAUUUUUAAUGACUUAAAGUUCAACUAUGAAAAAGCUUUGUUUUCACAUGUACUUUUUGAUUAGGUAUUAUCAACUUAUUAAAAUCGAAGAUGUGAAGUGACAGGUUUUGCAUGUGACACGUUUUCUGUUAAAUAUUGAAAUAUUAACCUGUGAAAUACAUUUUUAUGGUAACCUAUGUUUUACAAUGGAGUUUUUAAAAUGCUAGGUCUUUUAUUGAUAACUACAAAUGAAUAAAAAUCAUUUUUCUCUCUGU